AGAGUUUGAUCCUGGCUCAGGAUGAACGCUAGCUACAGGCUUAACACAUGCAAGUCGAGGGGCAGCAUGGACCCAGCUUUGCUGGGUUUGAUGGCGACCGGCGCACGGGUGAGUAACGCGUAUCCAACCUGCCCUUUACUCCGGGAUAGUCUCCUGAAAGGGAGUUUAAUACCGGAUGUGUUUGUCUUUCCGCAUGGGAGCGACAAAUAAAGAUUGAUUGGUAAAGGAUGGGGAUGCGUCCCAUUAGCUUGUUGGCGGGGUAACGGCCCACCAAGGCGACGAUGGGUAGGGGUUCUGAGAGGAAGGUCCCCCACAUUGGAACUGAGACACGGUCCAAACUCCUACGGGAGGCAGCAGUGAGGAAUAUUGGUCAAUGGGCGGGAGCCUGAACCAGCCAAGUAGCGUGAAGGACGACGGCCCUACGGGUUGUAAACUUCUUUUAUAAGGGAAUAAAGUUCGCCACGUGUGGUGUUUUGUAUGUACCUUAUGAAUAAGCAUCGGCUAAUUCCGUGCCAGCAGCCGCGGUAAUACGGAAGAUGCGAGCGUUAUCCGGAUUUAUUGGGUUUAAAGGGAGCGUAGGCGGGCUUUUAAGUCAGCGGUCAAAUGUCGUGGCUCAACCAUGUCAAGCCGUUGAAACUGUAAGCCUUGAGUCUGCACAGGGCACAUGGAAUUCGUGGUGUAGCGGUGAAAUGCUUAGAUAUCACGAAGAACUCCGAUCGCGAAGGCAUUGUGCCGGGGCAUAACUGACGCUGAGGCUCGAAAGUGCGGGUAUCAAACAGGAUUAGAUACCCUGGUAGUCCGCACGGUAAACGAUGAGUGCUAAGUGUUGGGGGUCGAACCUCAGUGCUGAAGUUAACGCAAUGGAGCAACUCCGCCUGGGGGGGACGGUCGCAAGACUGAAACUCAAAGAGAAUUGACGGGGACCCGCACAAGGCGGUGGAGCAUGUGGUAUAAUUGGAAGCAACGCGAAGAACUCUUACCAGGUCUUGACAUACCAGUGACCGUCCUAGAGAUAGGAUUUUCCCUUCGGGGACAAUGGAUACAGGUGGUGCAUGGUUGUCGUCAGCUCGUGUCGUGAGAUGUUGGGUUAAGUUCCGCAACGAGCGCAACCCCUAUUGUUAGUUGCUACGCAAGAGCACUCUAGCGAGACUGCCGUUGACAAAACGGAGGAAGGUGGGGACGACGUCAAAUCAUCAUGCCCCUUAUGUCCUGGGCUACGCACGUAAUACAAUGGCGGUCAACAGAGGGAUGCAAAGCCGUAAGGUGGAGCGAACCCCUAAAAGCCGUCCCAGUUCAGAUUGUGGGCUGCAACCCGCCCACAUGAAGUCGGAAUCGCUAGUAAUCGCGGAUCAGCAUGCCGCGGUGAAUAAAUUCCCGGGCCUUGCACACACCGCCCGUCA
RNAcentral lists this ribosomal RNA (1400 nucleotides) under uncultured bacterium. RNAcentral describes it as "partial 16S ribosomal RNA". It matches the Rfam family "Bacterial small subunit ribosomal RNA". The record is from RNAcentral.